RNAcentral lists this long non-coding RNA (461 nucleotides) under Serinus canaria (Common canary). RNAcentral describes it as "lncRNA (ENSSCAG00000006874.1)". Lineage: Eukaryota; Metazoa; Chordata; Aves; Passeriformes; Fringillidae. The record is from RNAcentral.
UGGGCGUGGCCUCGGGGGCGGAGCGAAGCUUUCCGGAAGUGAGGACGGGGGGCGGAGCCUACGCCGAGAGCUCCCGCGUCACCUUGAGCGCGGCCGAGGCCCAGGGGGGGAACUUCCGGUGUCGGGUGGAGCACCAGGGGCGGAGCUUCGAGAGAGAGGUGGAAGGCUGCCCCGACAGGACCCAGGACCCCCCAAAUUUCUCCAUCUCCCUCCUGAGCGACCCCAACCAAUCCCACCUGGAGGAACCCGAGGUCCACCUGCUCUGCCAGGUGACGCUGAGCGGCCGCGCCAACGUCAGCCGGGAAUUGUGGGACCUGGGCGCCACCUUCACCUGCCGGGCGGGCCACGCCCACCUGGCCACGCCCCUCGAGGCCAGCAUCAGCACCUACUGUAAAGCCUCCGUCCCCACCCCCUCGGUGUCGCUGCUCCCGCCCUCCCUUCACGACCUCUACCUGUCCACC